RNAcentral lists this ribosomal RNA (1190 nucleotides) under uncultured organism. RNAcentral's name for it is "bacterial SSU rRNA". It matches the Rfam family "Bacterial small subunit ribosomal RNA", at positions 76 to 1267 of the family's 1533-position model. The record is from RNAcentral.
UCUUUCGGGAGAACACGACCGGCGCACGGGUGAGUAACGCGUAUGCAAGCUACCUUUGGCACGGGGACAGCCCGGGGAAACCCGGAUUAAUACCACGGUAUAGUCUGUUAUACACCUGUAUAAAAGACGAGAGCUACGGAGGUCAAAUAUGGGCAUGCGUGCCAUAAGUUAGUUGGUAGGGUAACGGCCUACCAAGGCAUCGAUGGCUACGGGGUCUAAAAUGAUGAGCCCGUACAGUGGUACUGAGACACGGACCAGACUCCUACGGGAGGCAGCAGUGAGGAAUAUUGGUCCAUGGGUGGAAGCCUGAACCAGCCAUGCCGUGUGCAGGAAGACGGCCUUAUGGGUUGUAAACUGCUUUUCUACGGGACGAACGGCUCUGACGUGUCAGAGAUUGACGGUAUUGUAGGAAUAAGCAUCGGCUAACUCCGUGCCAGCAGCCGCGGUAAUACGGAGGAUGCAAGCGUAAUCCGGAUUCAUUGGGUCUAAUGGGUGCGUAUGCGGGGUAGUAAGUCAGUGGUGAAAGCCUGCGGCUUAACCGUAGAAUUGCCAUUGAUACUGCUAUUCUUGAGUGCAGUUGAGGUAGGCGGAAUGUGUAAUGUAGCGGUGAAAUGCUUAGAUAUUACACAGAACACCGAUUGCGUAGGCAGCUUACUAAACUGUAACUGACGCUGAGGCACGAAAGCGUGGGGAGCGAACAGGAUUAGAUACCCUGGUAGUCCACGCUGUAAACUAUGAUCACAUCGCUGUCGGCGAUACAUUGUCACCGGCUGAGCGAAAGCACUAAGUGAUCCACCUGGGGAGUACGACCGCAAGGUCGAAACUCAAAGGAAGCGACGGGGGCCCGCACAAGCGGUGGAACAUGUGGACCAAUCCGAUGAUACGCGAGGAACCUUACCUGGGCUUAAAUGCAGAACGACGUACCGGGAAACUGGUACUCCCUUCGGGACGGACAGCAAGGUGCUGCAUGGUUGUCGUCAGCUCGUGCCGUGAGGCGUCGGGCUAAGUCCCAUAACGAGCGCAACCCUCAUUGUUAGUUGCCAGCGAGUAAUGUCGGGGACUUUAACAAAGCUUCCGGUGUAAGCCGUGAGGAAGGUGGGGAUGACGUCCAAUCAGCACGGCCCUUAUGUCCAGGGCUACACACGUGUUACAAUGGCCAGUACAAAGGGCAGCUACCACGCGAGUGGAUG